Molecule: ribosomal RNA, 443 nt
Filed under: uncultured bacterium
Lineage: Bacteria
Description: bacterial SSU rRNA
Rfam family: Bacterial small subunit ribosomal RNA
Source: RNAcentral
UGCAGUCGAACGAGAACGGAUUAUAGCUUGCUAUAAUUGUCAGCUAAGUGGCGCACGGGUGAGUAAUAUAUAGGUAACAUGCCCUUAAGUGGGGGAUAACAGUUGGAAACGAUUGCUAAUACCCUAUAUGCCUUUUGUACGUAAGUAUGUAAAGGGAAAGAUUUAUUGCUUAAGGAUUGGCCUGUACGGUAUCAGUUAGUUGGUGAGGUAAUGGCUCACCAAGACGAUGACACCUAACUGGUUUGAGAGGAUGAUCAGUCACACUGGAACUGAGACACGGUCCAGACUCCUACGGGAGGCAGCAGUGGGGAAUAUUGCACAAUGGACGAAAGUCUGAUGCAGCAACGCCGCGUGGAGGAUGACACAUUUCGGUGCGUAAACUCCUUUUAUAGGUCAAGAUAAUGACGGUAGCCUAUGAAUAAGCGCCGGCUAACUCCGUGCCA